This 497-nucleotide ribosomal RNA is filed under the name uncultured bacterium. RNAcentral's name for it is "bacterial SSU rRNA". It matches the Rfam family "Bacterial small subunit ribosomal RNA", at positions 28 to 506 of the family's 1533-position model. The record is from RNAcentral.
GACGAACGCUGGCGGCGUGGAUUAGGCAUGCAAGUCGGACGGUAGAGCUUUAUCGUAAGAUAGAGUUUGAGAGUGGCGAACGGGUGAGUAACACGUAGGAAUCUACCCUUAAGACGGGGACAACCCAGGGAAACUUGGGCUAAUACCGGAUGAGAGUGCGAGAGAUUGCAUUUAAAAGGAUGGCGAAAGUUGUCGCUUAGGGAUGAGCCUGCGGUCUAUUAGUUAGUUGGUGAGGUAAGAGCUCACCAAGGCGAUGAUAGAUAGGCGGCCUUAACGGGUGGUCGCCCACACUGGGGAUUGAGAUACGGCCCAGACUCCUACGGGAGGCAGCAGUCGAGAAUAGUCUACAAUGGCCGGAAGGCUGAUAGUGCGACGCCGCGUGAACGAGGGACGCCCGUUCGGGGUGUAAAGUUCUUUUCUAUACGAGCAGUGCUAUAUAUAUGGAUAGUAUAUAUAGAGGGAUAGUAGUAUAGGAAUAAGCAACGGCUAACGUCCGU